RNAcentral lists this ribosomal RNA (468 nucleotides) under uncultured bacterium. RNAcentral describes it as "partial 16S ribosomal RNA". It matches the Rfam family "Bacterial small subunit ribosomal RNA", at positions 28 to 507 of the family's 1533-position model. The record is from RNAcentral.
GACGAACGCUGGCGGCGUGCUUAACACAUGCAAGUCGAACGGAAAGGCCCUGCUUUUGUGGGGUGCUCGAGUGGCGAACGGGUGAGUAACACGUGAGUAACCUGCCCUUGACUUUGGGAUAACUUCAGGAAACUGGGGCUAAUACCGGAUAGGAGCUCCUGCUGCAUGGUGGGGGUUGGAAAGUUUCGGCGGUUGGGGAUGGACUUGCGGCUUAUCAGCUUGUUGGUGGGGUAGUGGCUUACCAAGGCUUUGACGGGUAGCCGGCCUGAGAGGGUGACCGGCCACAUUGGGACUGAGAUACGGCCCAGACUCCUACGGGAGGCAGCAGUGGGGAAUAUUGCACAAUGGGCGGAAGCCUGAUGCAGCAACGCCGCGUGCGGGAUGACGGCCUUCGGGUUGUAAACCGCUUUCGCCCGUGACGAAGCGUGAGUGACGGUAAUGGGUAAAGAAGCACCGGCUAACUACGUG